AGUGCUGUCGGGUGGUCAGUAUUCGGCGUCCUGCGCGGGCGUCAGGCCGGUGGUGUGGCCGGGCGGCGGUUCGAUACCGUGCGGUCCCA
RNAcentral lists this transfer RNA (89 nucleotides) under Nocardia jinanensis. RNAcentral describes it as "tRNA-Arg". Lineage: Bacteria; Bacillati; Actinomycetota; Actinomycetes; Mycobacteriales; Nocardiaceae. The record is from RNAcentral.